RNAcentral lists this long non-coding RNA (443 nucleotides) under Rattus norvegicus (Norway rat). Its description in RNAcentral is "long non-coding RNA NONRATT014879". The record is from RNAcentral. Lineage: Eukaryota; Metazoa; Chordata; Mammalia; Rodentia; Muridae.
CUUGAGAAAAAAAGGAAAAAGAGAAAGCGAGAGAGACAUCCAAAGAGUGUUAGAAGAUGUGACUGCAGGAGAGCUGGUGUUCCAGAUGUACUAGAGGGACUGCAAGUGUGAGCAGGCAGAUUGCCAGAAUUUGCUGCUUCCCACCUUUCCUCGAGACUUGCAGAAGUAAUAGACAGUAAUAGUCUAAGACAAAUCAGCUCCUUGUAAAAUAGAACAAGGAAACCAAGAGUCCUAAGAAAGCUGUGUCAAAUAUUUUUAUUGGCAUAGAGAGAAGAGCAAUUAAUAAGCUAUUUUAUUGGCUUUAGAAAUACUUUUAAUUGGAAAAAUUCUGGAAUUGAUGACAUAUAACAGAACAUGUAUAUUGCCCACGAUCCUACCCAUGUGCCCCCCCCUUGCAGAAUAAAAGAAUGGGAGAAAAAAAAAGAAGAAACCCCAUCAAAUCC